RNAcentral lists this transfer RNA (71 nucleotides) under Caliris sp. JZ-2017. RNAcentral's name for it is "tRNA-Lys". The record is from RNAcentral. Lineage: Eukaryota; Metazoa; Arthropoda; Insecta; Mantodea; Haaniidae.
AUUAGAUGACUGAGGGGUAAGUAAUGGUCUCUUAAACCAAUAACAGUAAAUUAACAAUUGCUUCUAAUGGA